Molecule: ribosomal RNA, 33 nt
Filed under: Pseudocydonia sinensis
Lineage: Eukaryota; Viridiplantae; Streptophyta; Magnoliopsida; Rosales; Rosaceae
Description: Chaenomeles sinensis partial 5.8S rRNA
Source: RNAcentral
GUCAGCGAGGGCACGCCUGCCUGGGCGUCACAC